GAUGAACGCUGGCGGCGUGCCUAAUACAUGCAAGUCGAGCGAACGGACGAGAAUCUUGCUUCUCUGCUGUUAGCGGCGGACGGGUGAGGAACACGUGGAUAACCUACCUAUAAGACUGGGAUAACUUCGGGAAACCUGAUCUCAUACCGGAUAAUAUUUUGAACCGCAUGGUUCAAAAGUGAAAGACGGUCUUGCUGUCACUUAUAGAUGGAUCCGCGCUGCAUUAGCUAGUUGGUAAGGUAACGGCUUACCAAGGCAACGAUGCAUAGCCGACCUGAGAGGGUGAUCGGCCACACUGGAACUGAGACACGGUCCAGACUCCUACGGGAGGCAGCAGUAGGGAAUCUUCCGCAAUGGGCGAAAGCCUGACGGAGCAACGCCGCGUGAGUGAUGAAGGUCUUCGGAUCGUAAAACUCUGUUAUUAGGGAAGAACAUAUGUGUAGGUAACUGUGCACAUCUUGACGGUACCUAAACAGAAAGCCACGGCUAACUACGUG
This 497-nucleotide ribosomal RNA is filed under the name uncultured bacterium. RNAcentral's name for it is "partial 16S ribosomal RNA". It matches the Rfam family "Bacterial small subunit ribosomal RNA", at positions 28 to 507 of the family's 1533-position model. The record is from RNAcentral.